UUUAUUCGAAGCAACGCGAAGAACCUUUCCCAGGUCUUGACAUCCUCUGACCACCCUAAAAAUAAGGCUUUCCCCUCCCGCUUAACGACCGACAGGUGGUGAAUGGUUGUCGUCCCCACGUAUCGUGACAUGUUGGGUUAAGUCCCGCAACGAGCGCAACCCUUGAUCUUAUUUGCCAGCAUUCAUUUGGGCACUCUAAGGUGACUGCCGGUGACAAACCGGAGGAAGGUGGGGAUGACGUCAAAUCAUCAUGCCCCUUAUGACCUGGGCUACACACGUGCUACAAUGGAUGGUACAAAGGGCUGCAACCCCGCGAGGGUGAGCUAAUCCCAUAAAACCAUUCUCAGUUCGGAUUGUAGGCUGCAACUCGCCUACAUGAAGCCGGAAUCGCUAGUAAUCGCGGAUCAUCAUGCCGCGGUGAAUACUUUCCCGGGCCUUGUACACACCGCCCGUCACACCACGAGAGUUUGUAACACCCGAAGUCGGUGGGGUAACCUUUU
Molecule: ribosomal RNA, 500 nt
Filed under: Bacillus sp. SPA S-237
Lineage: Bacteria; Bacillati; Bacillota; Bacilli; Caryophanales; Bacillaceae
Description: bacterial SSU rRNA
Rfam family: Bacterial small subunit ribosomal RNA
Source: RNAcentral